RNAcentral lists this long non-coding RNA (425 nucleotides) under Gossypium raimondii (Peruvian cotton). RNAcentral describes it as "long non-coding RNA (GRAI_LNC001517)". Lineage: Eukaryota; Viridiplantae; Streptophyta; Magnoliopsida; Malvales; Malvaceae. The record is from RNAcentral.
UUUUGUUAUUAAUACAUAUAUAUAAGCAUAGAUCUGUAUAAAAUAAAAGAGAUAAGAGGGGAGGGAUUUACCUGCUUGCAGCCGAUUAGGUCCUUGUUUAUUUCGUUGUGAUCAGAGUUCGAGUGAGGAUGGUGACGCGAGGACGGACGGAGCCUACGAGCGGCGCAAACGCUGGGGUUAAAACCUUAGAAGAGAGUUGAAGCUUUUUUUAUUUUUUUAUUUUAUUCUGGUGGAUACAAAUGAGUUUUUUUAAGCAGAAACUUGGUUUAAAUAAUAACGCAAUACGACGUCGUUUUGAGGUAAGGGCACCAGUGCUAAAACGGUGCCAUUUGGUCCCUUGCCCCGCGCGGUGACCCGACCGAAUGGAAGGAUCCGUGCGUUUCAUAUCAUUGGUUUAUUUGCGCGAUAAGUCCCUAUGUGUUUGG